Molecule: long non-coding RNA, 741 nt
Filed under: Pongo abelii (Sumatran orangutan)
Lineage: Eukaryota; Metazoa; Chordata; Mammalia; Primates; Hominidae
Description: lincRNA
Source: RNAcentral
AUCAACUAUGGCCUGAGUAUGAUACACUUAUCCAUGGUUUAAACAGAAUAUAUUGUUUUCAACUUUGAAAAUUAAAAUAUGGAAAUCCAGAUGCAGAAAUGUGAGAAGAGUGGAAGGUCAGGUGACCUUGCCUGUCACGAAUAUGAAGGUCAAGGUUUGUGAAUUGUGAAAUGUCCAAGAGAACCUCACUGAAGCAAAGAAUGGAGAAAGAACGCAUUUGGCCCUGGGAGGGUGCAGGGGUGAAUGGUGCAGGAGCUAAAUCUUUAUCAUACCCAGAAAUCAACAGCCACUAUUUGAAAUCAUCUAAAUUCACGCUGCUAACCUUCAGUGUACACACGAAUCACCUGGGGAUCUUAUUAAAAGCUAGUUUCUGAUUCACUAAAUCUGUGUGCAGUGGAAGUUGAGGGCAGAGAAGCUCCCAAGGGUGUCAAGCUGGCCCUGAACCAGACUUUGAGGGUUAAGGUCCCAAAUGGCAUCGCCAGCACCAGGGACAGACACUAAAAUUGUAGAAAUCGUGUCAAGAAAUGAACAGCCUCUAAGUCACAUGUUGAAUGUGAAAGAAAUCAGGGUGUGUACGUGUGUGUGUGUGCACGUGUGUGCCUCUGUUUGUCUCUGUGCAUGUAUGUUUCCAUGUGUGCACAUGUGUGUAUGUGUCUGUGCAUGUGUGUUUCUGUGUGUGUGCCUGUGUGUGUAUUGGCUUAGAUCUGUUCGAGACUUUUUAUUUGAUGAGAUCGAUAUAUG